AGAGUUUGAUCCUGGCUCAGGACGAACGCUGGCGGCGUGCUUAACACAUGCAAGUCGAACGGAAAGGCCCUUCGGGGUACUCGAGUGGCGAACGGGUGAGUAACACGUGGGUGAUCUGCCCUGCACUUUGGGAUAAGCCUGGGAAACUGGGUCUAAUACCGAAUAUGACCAUGCGUCUCCUGGUGUGUGGUGGAAAGCUUUUGCGGUGUGGGAUGGGCCCGCGGCCUAUCAGCUUGUUGGUGGGGUAAUGGCCUACCAAGGCGACGACGGGUAGCCGGCCUGAGAGGGUGACCGGCCACACUGGGACUGAGAUACGGCCCAGACUCCUACGGGAGGCAGCAGUGGGGAAUAUUGCACAAUGGGCGCAAGCCUGAUGCAGCGACGCCGCGUGAGGGAUGACGGCCUUCGGGUUGUAAACCUCUUUCAGCACAGACGAAGCGCAAGUGACGGUAUGUGCAGAAGAAGGACCGGCCAACUACGUGCCAGCAGCCGCGGUAAUACGUAGGGUCCGAGCGUUGUCCGGAAUUACUGGGCGUAAAGAGCUCGUAGGUGGUUUGUCGCGUUGUUCGUGAAAACUCACAGCUUAACUGUGGGCGUGCGGGCGAUACGGGCAGACUUGAGUACUGCAGGGGAGACUGGAAUUCCUGGUGUAGCGGUGGAAUGCGCAGAUAUCAGGAGGAACACCGGUGGCGAAGGCGGGUCUCUGGGCAGUAACUGACGCUGAGGAGCGAAAGCGUGGGGAGCGAACAGGAUUAGAUACCCUGGUAGUCCAA
RNAcentral lists this ribosomal RNA (773 nucleotides) under uncultured bacterium. RNAcentral describes it as "bacterial SSU rRNA". It matches the Rfam family "Bacterial small subunit ribosomal RNA", at positions 8 to 798 of the family's 1533-position model. The record is from RNAcentral.